Molecule: ribosomal RNA, 879 nt
Filed under: uncultured bacterium
Lineage: Bacteria
Description: bacterial SSU rRNA
Rfam family: Bacterial small subunit ribosomal RNA
Source: RNAcentral
AGAGUUUGAUCAUGGCUCAGGAUGAACGCUGGCGGCGUGCCUAACACAUGCAAGUCGAGCGAUCUUCUUCGGAAGAGAGCGGCGGACGGGUGAGUAACGCGUGGGUAACCUGCCUCAUACACAUGGAUAACAUACCGAAAGGUAUGCUAAUACAAGAUGAUAUAAGAGAUUCGCAUGGAUUUCUUAUCAAAGCUCCGGCGGUAUGAGAUGGACCCGCGUCUGAUUAGCUAGUUGGUAAGGUAACGGCUUACCAAGGCGACGAUCAGUAGCCGACCUGAGAGGGUGAUCGGCCACAUUGGAACUGAGACACGGUCCAAACUCCUACGGGAGGCAGCAGUGGGGAAUAUUGCACAAUGGGCGAAAGCCUGAUGCAGCAACGCCGCGUGAGCGAUGAAGGCCUUCGGGUCGUAAAGCUCUGUCCUCAAGGAAGAUAAUGACGGUACUUGAGGAGGAAGCCCCGGCUAACUACGUGCCAGCAGCCGCGGUAAUACGUAGGGGGCUAGCGUUAUCCGGAUUUACUGGGCGUAAAGGGUGCGUAGGUGGUUUCCUAAGUCAGGAGUGAAAGGCUACGGCUCAACCGUAGUAAGCUCUUGAAACUGGGAAACUUGAGUGCAGGAGAGGAAAGUGGAAUUCCUAGUGUAGCGGUGAAAUGCGUAGAUAUUAGGAGGAACACCAGUAGCGAAAGCGGCUUUCUGGACUGUAACUGACACUGAGGCACGAAAGCGUGGGGAGCAAACAGGAUUAGAUACCCUGGUAGUCCACGCCGUAAACGAUGAGUACUAGGUGUCGGGGGUUACCCCCCUCGGUGCCGCAGCUAACGCAUUAAGUACUCCGCCUGGGGAGUACGCUCGCAAGAGUGAAACUCAAAGGAAUUGACGG